GACCCUCGGUCAGUUCACCGUGUUGUGAGUGAACAUCUGCUCCAAGGUGCGGAGCCGUUCGCAGGGUUCCGUUUGGAAGGGACCCGUGAGCACAGUGGGGAGGCUCCCCGAAGGCUCUGCGCCUGGAAAGUCUGCUCUUUUCACAGCCAGCACUGCUGUUGGUUCUGCCUGCUGGCUCCCAAAUGACUGCAGCAACUGGUAAACCAGCAGCAAUGCUCAACGCAGAAGCACAUCAGGUCGUAGCAUGGGGGCUGAGCACUGGGAAAUCAAGACAUUUCCUGUGACUGUUCCCUUUAAAAACAAUCUAAUUAAGAGCCAAGAUGUUCGAGCCCCAGUAAGUAUUCUCAUUCUGAAGCGCGAGUCUUCUCCUUUGCUCCUGAAUGCGUGAAGAGGCAUCACUUUAUCAGAAUCCCCAGUCUCACAAGGGAAGCCCCAUCCCCCACCAAUGGUGUCGGAAACAAGUGUAUCUGAUACACCAGCCACACUGCGAGCACCACAGCAAGCACUAGGCAGACCCUGAAUGCUACAACAGAGCGGUAAGAUCAGAGAUACUGCCAAUCACAUUUUAACCGACGGGAAACCCGAAGCAGAGAGACCGAAUAACUGCUCAAAUUUACCCGCGUGUCUCAGGCUCCAGAUGCCAAGAAUACACAGCCCCCUCUUACUACCAAAGAACUCUUCAAUGAAACCUCAGACAUUUUUCUUUGAAGUUUCAAAUCAUUGGACCUUGAAGCUCCCCUGGGUGAUGUAGGAUAUAGUCAUGCCCCUGGCCCAGCACUUCCUGCCUGUCCUCAUGCUUACCCAGUUUGUGUGUUCCCCUUCCCUCUGUCCCUAAAGUUCUUGACAAGGAACAGAGCCCAGGCGAUGGCUACAUUUGGACAUGUGUAUCGCUGCUCCUUGCAACCAGCAAUAAACAAGAAAGAGUAAGAGAGGAAAACUUGUUAACACCAUGCUGUAUCUAAACAAGCAAUUCCAGAUGGCAUCCUUUAUGCCUUCUGCCUCUGAUAAGAAAAGAUUGAGCAGGGAAAAUAAGCAGCAGCUGACAAGCCAUAUCCACCCAGCAUGGAGACCAACGAGGAGAAUGGAUACCAGCUCUGUGCUCUGUCCUUAGUUAUGGCUUGGCACCCAGACCAGAGAGGUCUGUCUGGCUUCAGCAGGCCCUCCUUUAUGGACCCAGUGAAUCGUGGGUGAUUAUGGGCCAACAUAUGCACAUUUCUUUCUUUGGAAACUGAGGACAAUAAUCACACCAUACGUGUUUGGUUAAGUAUUAACUGAGAUAGUCCACAUAGAGACCUUAACACAAGGAAGCCUAACACGCAGGAAGCACUUUGUGAGGUUAACAUUUGAUGCUAUUUAUCGAUCAACUCAGGUAAGCAAAUGAACAUCUUGUCUGAAGUAGCCUCUGGUACAAUUCGGAACGAACAAUCAGUAAUAGAACAUAGAACCUCCCUCAAAAUGGAGCUAAUCUUGAUGUUUUAAAAUGCCAUCUUGGAAUUACAUGUAGCUUAUGAUUCUUCAACAUGAACAGUGUUUAUGUAAAGGGCAGGAGCACACAAGUUUUAACACACCACCUUGCAAAACCCAAGUCAGUGGUACUAGCUUUCCUAGUAAACUCAUGAUGUUGGGAUGAAUCAAUAGAAAUGUUAUGGGAACAGCACCCCAACAAUGCCACAGAUGACCCAUUUAUUGUAUCUCAACCAGGAAUCCACACUAGUUUUAAUUUUCACAAUUUGAUAAACACGAAGUGCUCUAUGGCAGCUGAAAUGAGGAAAGAAUGUUAACGAAAACCCAAAGACCAAAACUCAAAAUCCAUGGUGUAACUUCUCACCCAGAAGAGAAAUCUGACUAGAUUAUUCUUUCUAGCCUUCCAUACAUUCCAGAAAAUGGCUAAAGCACUGAGAUUUGACAGAGG
Molecule: long non-coding RNA, 1912 nt
Filed under: Fukomys damarensis (Damara mole-rat)
Lineage: Eukaryota; Metazoa; Chordata; Mammalia; Rodentia; Bathyergidae
Description: lncRNA (ENSFDAG00000027783.1)
Source: RNAcentral